RNAcentral lists this unclassified non-coding RNA (279 nucleotides) under plant metagenome. RNAcentral's name for it is "partial contains small subunit ribosomal RNA, internal transcribed spacer 1, and 5.8S ribosomal RNA". The record is from RNAcentral.
UUUCCGUAGGUGAACCUGCGGAAGGAUCAUUAUCGAAUAACCGACGUGCGAGGGCCGUCGCUCACCCGAAAGGUCGCGCACGCCCGCGUGCCCCUACAGACAUCCACCCCAACCCCACGUGCACCACCGCGCGGGUCCCUCCUUGGCUUGUCCGGAGGGGGCCCGACGCUUUAACACAAACUGUGAAUGCAGUGUAGAAUGUAUUUUCUGUUUUGGACACCACGCAACCAAGACAACCUUCACUAACGGAUCUCGUGGCUCUCGCGUCGAUGAAGAAGG